AAAAUCCGUCGACUUUAGAAAUCGUGAGGGUUCAAGUCCCUCUAUCCCCCCAAAAAGACCGAUUUGACUAUUUCUCCUACCCUCUCUUUUUUUUAGUGGUUCCAAAUUUGUUCUCUUUCUCAUUCAUUCUACCUUUUUACAAACGUAUCAGAGCAGAAUUUUUUUUCUUUUAUCACAAUCACAAGUGGUGUGGUAUAUAUGAUAUACGUACAAAUGAACAUCUUUGAACAAAGAAUCCCGAUUCACAAUUCAUAUCAUUGCUCAUACUGAAACUUAUAAAUUAUUCUAUUCAAGAAAUCUAAUUCCACGCUCAAGACUUUUAAUACUUUUUUUAUCUUUUUUAAUUGACAUAGACCCCAGUCAUCUAGUAAAAUAAGGAUGAUGCGCCGGUAAUGGUCGGGAUAGCUCAGCUGGUAGAGCAGAGGACUGAAAAUCCUCGUGUC
RNAcentral lists this transfer RNA (443 nucleotides) under Acer pseudosieboldianum. RNAcentral's name for it is "partial transfer RNA-Leu". The stretch from base 396 to 443 matches the Rfam family "tRNA", at positions 1 to 46 of the family's 71-position model. Lineage: Eukaryota; Viridiplantae; Streptophyta; Magnoliopsida; Sapindales; Sapindaceae. The record is from RNAcentral.